CCUACGGGAGGCUGCAGUGGGGAAUAUUGGACAAUGGGCGAAAGCCUGAUCCAGCCAUGCCGCGUGUGUGAAGAAGGCCUUCGGGUUGUAAAGCACUUUCAGUGGGGAAGAAAGCCUUGGGGCUAAUACCCUCGAGGAAGGACAUCACCCACAGAAGAAGCACCGGCUAACUCCGUGCCAGCAGCCGCGGUAAUACGGAGGGUGCGAGCGUUAAUCGGAAUUACUGGGCGUAAAGCGCGCGUAGGCGGUCUGAUAAGCCGGUUGUGAAAGCCCCGGGCUCAACCUGGGAACGGCAUCCGGAACUGGCAGGCUAGAGUGCAGGAGAGGAAGGUAGAAUUCCCGGUGUAGCGGUGAAAUGCGUAGAGAUCGGGAGGAAUACCAGUGGCGAAGGCGGCCUCCUGGACUGACACUGACGCUGAGGUGCGAAAGCGUGGGUAGCAAACAGGAUUAGAUACCCGUGUAGUC
RNAcentral lists this ribosomal RNA (465 nucleotides) under Vreelandella stevensii. RNAcentral describes it as "partial 16S ribosomal RNA". It matches the Rfam family "Bacterial small subunit ribosomal RNA", at positions 338 to 795 of the family's 1533-position model. The record is from RNAcentral. Lineage: Bacteria; Pseudomonadati; Pseudomonadota; Gammaproteobacteria; Oceanospirillales; Halomonadaceae.